RNAcentral lists this ribosomal RNA (501 nucleotides) under uncultured bacterium. RNAcentral's name for it is "bacterial SSU rRNA". The stretch from base 54 to 501 matches the Rfam family "Bacterial small subunit ribosomal RNA", at positions 1 to 507 of the family's 1533-position model. The record is from RNAcentral.
UAGUUAUUAGUAUUAGAAGAAACACGAAGGUGUUUCGCCAAUACUGGCAACUGACAACUGAAAACUGAUAACUGCUAAGCAAAGCGCUGUGUGCUUUGCACAUCCUAGCGGCGGACGGGUGAGUAACGCGUGAGCAACCUGCCUUUCAGUGGGGGAUAACGUCUCGAAAGGGACGCUAAUACCGCAUGAUAUAGCGAUAUCACAUGGUAACGCUAUCAAAGAUUUAUCGCUGAAAGAUGGGCUCGCGUCUGAUUAGCUGGUUGGUGAGGUAACGGCUCACCAAGGCGACGAUCAGUAGCCGAACUGAGAGGUUGAUCGGCCACAUUGGGACUGAGACACGGCCCAGACUCCUACGGGAGGCAGCAGUGGGGGAUAUUGCGCAAUGGGGGAAACCCUGACGCAGCAACGCCGCGUGAAGGAAGAAGGCCUUCGGGUUGUAAACUUUUGUCUUUGGGGACGAUAAUGACGGUACCCGAGGAGGAAGCCACGGCUAACUACGUG